RNAcentral lists this ribosomal RNA (392 nucleotides) under uncultured bacterium. RNAcentral describes it as "bacterial SSU rRNA". It matches the Rfam family "Bacterial small subunit ribosomal RNA", at positions 30 to 424 of the family's 1533-position model. The record is from RNAcentral.
AUUGAACGCUGGCGGCAUGCCUUACACAUGCAAGUCGAACGGCAGCACGGGAGCAAUCCUGGUGGCGAGUGGCGAACGGGUGAGUAAUAUAUCGGAACGUACCUUUCAGUGGGGGAUAACGUAGCGAAAGUUACGCUAAUACCGCAUAUUCUGUGAGCAGGAAAGCAGGGGAUCGCAAGACCUUGCGCUGAUUGAACGGCCGAUAUCAGAUUAGCUAGUUGGUGAGGUAAAGGCUCACCAAGGCGACGAUCUGUAGCGGGUCUGAGAGGAUGAUCCGCCACACUGGAACUGAGACACGGUCCAGACUCCUACGGGAGGCAGCAGUGGGGAAUUUUGGACAAUGGGCGCAAGCCUGAUCCAGCCAUGCCGCGUGAGUGAAGAAGGCCUCGGUU